CUGAGAGUUUUUUGUGAGCUGCCUGCCAGCGCUCACAAAAAACUCUGCGCCUGUGGUAAGGUUGUGUUACAUAAGUUAAUUUGGCUAUCAGUCAUUGGGUGUGUUGAUAUGUGCAAGCGUAAAGAUAAAAACCACAAACAAAAGUUUUCCGUGCAUUCGAACCAAAAUGUGCGACAAGGGUUGAGUAAACAACAUAGCGAAAAUCAUCUGUCACUGGAAACAUAGCGAAAGUCGCUGACUGUAGUUCCGGUCAAACACACACGAGGCAGAUACAAGUGGUUCGUUGGGCCGACAGCAGCUACCAAAGUUUUCAGGUCCGGAAAAUCCGAACCUAAAAGUGAUCCGGCCGAAACAAAUACUGCCAGUUCGACAGCCCCUUAAGUCGGGGACGGCGCUAAUCCAACCUAAAAGUGCUCCCGCCGAAACAAAUACUCCCAGUUCGACAGACCCUCAAGUCGGGGACGGCGCUAAUCCUUCCGCCUCAGGCAUUCCUUGCGUUCGAGGACCAUUUUCGAUCGCCGCAUCAAGGCCCAGCCGAAGACAGACGGCCCAGCCGAAGACAGACGGCCCAGCUGAAGACAGACAAAAAGCCUUCUGGAUCAGAAGUAAGUUUACACCCUACAGUUGAUAACGAUAAAUAUUAAGGGACUUGUUUCCCUUCAGGGCUUUUUCUUUACUGUGGCUGGAGUAGCGGAAAUUCAAGAUCUGAGCACGAGGGAGUACGACUGCCAACCGGAUUGCAUGACUUCGGGAUUCAAGUGCGAGCGAGCACGACUAUCGACCGGAUCGCACGCCUUUGGGACCCGAGCGCGAGCAAGUGCGAUUGCCGGCUGGAUUUCAUGGGAAGAGCAGGAGAUUGGGCGUGCUACUUUGGGCGAGCCACGAGUCAAACCAAGAAUUCGCGGGAGACGACGACCUCAGUGGGCCGCCAGAUUGGAGCUGUGAAGGGAUACUAGCUAGUCGUCGAGGCGAGCUGUGGCAGACGGCCUUAAGGAACGUCGGAAGCCUUGGAACAGCCAACAGCAGGAGAUUCCGGAGGAUCACGGUGACGUCCGGAUGGUUUGGGUGCACCCAGAAGAACCGUGAGUAGGAAGAAAGAGAAUGAAGAGAAAGAAUAAGAAAGAAGUUAGAGAAGCAGGGUGCUAGGUAGCUAGAACAGAGAGGAUGUUUGUGGCCCGGAAGUCGUAAUAAAGCUUGCACAGUAUGUUAUGAA
Long non-coding RNA from Aedes aegypti (yellow fever mosquito), 1213 nucleotides. RefSeq lists it as uncharacterized. The record is from RefSeq and is a predicted model, not a curated record. Lineage: Eukaryota; Metazoa; Arthropoda; Insecta; Diptera; Culicidae. The transcript has 2 exons.